RNAcentral lists this ribosomal RNA (957 nucleotides) under uncultured bacterium. RNAcentral's name for it is "bacterial SSU rRNA". It matches the Rfam family "Bacterial small subunit ribosomal RNA", at positions 1 to 955 of the family's 1533-position model. The record is from RNAcentral.
UAGAGUUUGAUCCUGGCUCAGAUUGAACGCUGGCGGCAGGCCUAACACAUGCAAGUCGAGCGGUAGCGGGAAGAGCUUGCUCUUUGCCGACGAGCGGCGGACGGGUGCGUAACACGUAGGAAUCUGCCUGGUAGUGGGGGAUAGCCCGGAGAAAUCCGGAUUAAUACCGCAUACGCCCUACGGGGGAAAGCAGGGGAUCUUCGGACCUUGCGCUAUCAGAUGAGCCUGCGUCGGAUUAGCUUGUUGGUGGGGUAAAGGCCUACCAAGGCGACGAUCCGUAGCUGGUCUGAGAGGAUGAUCAGCCACACUGGGACUGAGACACGGCCCAGACUCCUACGGGAGGCAGCAGUGGGGAAUAUUGCACAAUGGGCGAAAGCCUGAUGCAGCCAUGCCGCGUGUGUGAAGAAGGCCCUAGGGUUGUAAAGCACUUUCAGUGGGGAGGAAAGGUCGAAGGUUAAUACCCUUUGGCUGUGACGUUACCCACAGAAGAAGCACCGGCUAACUCCGUGCCAGCAGCCGCGGUAAUACGGAGGGUGCGAGCGUUAAUCGGAAUUACUGGGCGUAAAGCGUGCGUAGGCGGCUACCUAAGUUGGAUGUGAAAGCCCCGGGCUCAACCUGGGAACUGCAUCCAAAACUGGGUGGCUAGAGUACGGGAGAGGAGUGUGGAAUUUCCUGUGUAGCGGUGAAAUGCGUAGAUAUAGGAAGGAACACCAGUGGCGAAAGCGACACUCUGGCCUGAUACUGACGCUGAGGUACGAAAGCGUGGGGAGCAAACAGGAUUAGAUACCCUGGUAGUCCACGCCGUAAACGAUGUCUACUAGUUGUCGGUUGUCUUGUACGACUGGUAACGCAGCUAACGCGAUAAGUAGACCGCCUGGGGAGUACGGCCGCAAGGUUAAAACUCAAAUGAAUUGACGGGGGCCCGCACAAGCGGUGGAGCAUGUGGUUUAAUUCGAA